AGUGAACGCUGGCGGUAGGCCUAACACAUGCAAGUCGAACGGCAGCACAGUAAGAGCUUGCUCUUACGGGUGGCGAGUGGCGGACGGGUGAGGAAUACAUCGGAAUCUACUUUUUCGUGGGGGAUAACGUAGGGAAACUUACGCUAAUACCGCAUACGACCUACGGGUGAAAGCAGGGGAUCUUCGGACCUUGCGCGAUUGAAUGAGCCGAUGUCGGAUUAGCUAGUUGGCGGGGUAAAGGCCCACCAAGGCGACGAUCCGUAGCUGGUCUGAGAGGAUGAUCAGCCACACUGGAACUGAGACACGGUCCAGACUCCUACGGGAGGCAGCAGUGGGGAAUAUUGGACGAUGGGCGCAAGCCUGAUCCAGCCAUACCGCGUGGGUGAAGAAGGCCUUCGGGUUGUAGAGCCCUUUUGUUGGGAAAGAAAAGCAGCAGGUUAAUACCCCGCUGUUCUGACGGUACCCAAAGAAUAAGCACCGGCUAACUUCGUG
Molecule: ribosomal RNA, 492 nt
Filed under: uncultured bacterium
Lineage: Bacteria
Description: partial 16S ribosomal RNA
Rfam family: Bacterial small subunit ribosomal RNA
Source: RNAcentral